This 1205-nucleotide ribosomal RNA is filed under the name Providencia rettgeri. Its description in RNAcentral is "partial 23S ribosomal RNA". It matches the Rfam family "Bacterial large subunit ribosomal RNA", at positions 413 to 1617 of the family's 2925-position model. Lineage: Bacteria; Pseudomonadati; Pseudomonadota; Gammaproteobacteria; Enterobacterales; Morganellaceae. The record is from RNAcentral.
UAGGGCGGGACACGUGUUAUCCUGUCUGAAUAUGGGGGGACCAUCCUCCAAGGCUAAAUACUCCUGAUUGACCGAUAGUGAACCAGUACCGUGAGGGAAAGGCGAAAAGAACCCCGGCGAGGGGAGUGAAAUAGAACCUGAAACCGUGUACGUACAAGCAGUGGGAGCCUUGAUUUAUCAGGGUGACUGCGUACCUUUUGUAUAAUGGGUCAGCGACUUAUAUUCUGUAGCAAGGUUAACCGUAUAGGGGAGCCGUAGGGAAACCGAGUCUUAACUGGGCGAAUGAGUUGCAGGGUAUAGACCCGAAACCCGGUGAUCUAGCCAUGGGCAGGUUGAAGGUUGGGUAACACUAACUGGAGGACCGAACCGACUAAUGUUGAAAAAUUAGCGGAUGACUUGUGGCUGGGGGUGAAAGGCCAAUCAAACCGGGAGAUAGCUGGUUCUCCCCGAAAGCUAUUUAGGUAGCGCCUCGUGAACUCAUCUUCGGGGGUAGAGCACUGUUUCGACUAGGGGGUCAUCCCGACUUACCAACUCGAUGCAAACUACGAAUACCGAAGAAUGUUAUCACGGGAGACACACGGCGGGUGCUAACGUUCGUCGUGAAGAGGGAAACAACCCAGACCGCCAGCUAAGGUCCCAAAGUCAUAGUUAAGUGGGAAACGAAGUGGGAAGGCUCAGACAGCCAGGAUGUUGGCUUAGAAGCAGCCAUCAUUUAAAGAAAGCGUAAUAGCUCACUGGUCGAGUCGGCCUGCGCGGAAGAUGUAACGGGGCUAAACUAUGCACCGAAGCUGCGGCAGCGAUAUGUAAAUAUUGUUGGGUAGGGGAGCGUUCUGUAAGCCUGUGAAGGUGUACUGUGAGGUAUGCUGGAGGUAUCAGAAGUGCGAAUGCUGACAUAAGUAACGAUAAUGCGGGUGAAAAACCCGCACGCCGGAAGACCAAGGGUUCCUGUCCAACGUUAAUCGGGGCAGGGUGAGUCGACCCCUAAGGCGAGGCAGAAAUGCGUAGUCGAUGGGAAACGGGUUAAUAUUCCCGUACUGGUGAUAAUUGCGAUGGGGGGACGGAGAAGGCUAGGCUGGCCGGGCGACGGUUGUCCCGGUUUAAGGAUGUAGGCAGGUGAAUUAGGCAAAUCCGGUUCACUAUAUGCUGAGGUCUGAUGACGAGUCACUACGGUGGCGAAGUAGCUCAUGCCCCGCUUCCAGGAAAAG